GCCUCUCGAGACUAGGACAGACA
This 23-nucleotide non-coding RNA is filed under the name Cricetulus griseus (Chinese hamster). Lineage: Eukaryota; Metazoa; Chordata; Mammalia; Rodentia; Cricetidae. The record is from RNAcentral.